CCACCGCCAUCUGUGAGCCGACUGUCCAAAAAAUGUGGGAACCCGGCGUCUCACAUACCUAUGGACCUAUACGGUCUGUUACAGGAAUACUUUUACGUUUUUACCUUUUUACCUUUACCUUACUACAGAAAGCUGUAAAAGCAACGACGAACUAUAUUUUUUUACAUACUGAACGAAAGUUGAAAAUGGGUAAUGAUCAAGUAACGGACUGACCCGAAAACAUAACAUGAUUUUUAGCAUGGGGACAGCUAGAGUAAUUAUGGAGAAUGUAGAGAAUUGCAGGAAAUCGGCCGAGGAACUAGAAUUUGCUGGAUUCCUGCGUUACAGAACUACCGACAUGGACACGGAGACUACUGGAGCAGGAAGCUCCCAGGAAACCAGGCGUAGAGAAUACAGGGUCGAAUGAAGUGGAAGAAAGGACAUGAAUAGUUAGGAAUUUAAAGAUGAUGUUCGUGGCCUCUAUGAAGACAUUAUUCCGACAUCCCCCUGAAGAAGGCAAUGAAAAGAAAAAAGACAAACUUCAGUCAACACACCCAGAAAUCAUUGCGGGUACAUCCAGAAGUAUAUAAUCCAUUUUAAAGAAAGUACGUGUAAUAACAGGAGGUUUCAAAGCAAUUUUUGUUAUUUUCCU
Cryptotermes secundus is the source of this 631-nucleotide long non-coding RNA. RefSeq lists it as uncharacterized. The transcript is spliced from 3 exons. The record is from RefSeq and is a predicted model, not a curated record. Lineage: Eukaryota; Metazoa; Arthropoda; Insecta; Blattodea; Kalotermitidae.